This 429-nucleotide ribosomal RNA is filed under the name Acidobacteriota bacterium. RNAcentral's name for it is "Acidobacteria bacterium partial 16S ribosomal RNA". It matches the Rfam family "Bacterial small subunit ribosomal RNA", at positions 355 to 776 of the family's 1533-position model. The record is from RNAcentral. Lineage: Bacteria; Pseudomonadati; Acidobacteriota.
UGGGGAAUUUUGGACAAUGGGGGCAACCCUGAUCCAGCAAUGCCGCGUGUGUGAAGAAGGCCUUCGGGUUGUAAAGCACUUUUGUCCGGGAAGAAAUCCUUUUCGAUAAUACCGAAGGUGGAUGACGGUACCGGAAGAAUAAGCACCGGCUAACUACGUGCCAGCAGCCGCGGUAAUACGUAGGGUGCGAGCGUUAAUCGGAAUUACUGGGCGUAAAGCGUGCGCAGGCGGUGAUGUAAGACCGAUGUGAAAUCCCCGGGCUUAACCUGGGAACUGCAUUGGUGACUGCAUCGCUGGAGUAUGGCAGAGGGGGGUAGAAUUCCACGUGUAGCAGUGAAAUGCGUAGAGAUGUGGAGGAAUACCGAUGGCGAAGGCAGCCCCCUGGGCCAAUACUGACGCUCAUGCACGAAAGCGUGGGGAGCAAACAGG